UCUAGAGCAACUAAGAGAAGGAGAUCGAUAGACGAUCAUAUCGUGAAGGCUAAAUGGAGAAGAGAGAGAGUACAGCUUUGGGCGGUUUAGUUGUUAGAUGGUGGAAGUACUUGCGACGCCUACUACCCUUUUCACCAAGGCUGUACGCUCCCUCUUCUUCUCUUAGCUUUUUAUGAUCCACACACAUAUAUACAUGAACUCUCUCUCAGCCGGCUCAGCUGAUAAUUUAUUUUACUCUUGGUACCAUUUUCUAGGCUUCAACUAAAUGUGUAUGUGUUAAGAGCAAGUCUAAUAAAAGCGCUCGCUGCUGGCUCCAAUCCUUCUCACGUCAGGUAAAUAUAAUAUAAAAGCAAGUACAUACAGUAGGUAGGCUCUAAUACAUUUACCCAUCUCUCCAUAUAAAUAAUGUUUUAUUCUUUAUUUACUUUAUCUUCUCUUUCCUUUCAUUUCUAUCUCACUUUUGGAUGGUGCAGAGAUCAAAUGGUGAGACUAUUUUUUCUUAGAGUGCGUGUGGCACUAGUGGCAAAUUAGUCAGCAACUGAUGGUCUCUCUCCUCUCUUUUUUCGCCAACUCAGCGUUCAUGCUUACGUGGAGUUUUUUCUUCCAGCUAUCUGAACCCUAUUGUACCUGCUCUAACUUGAUAGGCUAUAACGCUAUAAAUAGUCUUUGUGGGAUAAAUUUUUAAUAGUACAAAUGAAGCUGCAACAUAGGUAUAUUGAAUCCGUUGCUUUUUAAUUAGGAAAUGGGUGUGGAAUUUCCAGCCGAACAUUAUUACAGGAAAAACGCUUUGUAGAGACAUUUUUCUAAUACUAUAGAGACACUUUUAAAAUGCCUUUACAAUACUAUAGAGAUAUAUUAAAAAAAUAUCUAAUAAUUGCCUUACGGUGAAUUAUCUGUACAAACGAAGAGGCAUUUUAUAAAAUGUCUAUAAGAUGGUAGAGGCAUUUUCUAGAUACAUUAAAUUGUACCACAAUAAUAUGAAAUUAAUGAAAAAAUAAAAUAAAAUAAAAUAUUUUCUCUUGUUUUUGCAAUCCUUGAACUCAUGAUCAAUUGCACAAAUCAUACUUAUCUUCAAGGCACUAACCAACUCAAUCCCAAGUCAUCACUUAUAUGUAUUUGUCUUCAGUUACUUAUAUUUAGUCAUUUAGUAUAUAUUUUUAUUCUAAGAAGUCUCUUUACAGAGUUUAAAGUGUCUCAAUGGUUGAUAACGAGAAGAAAACGAUAAAAUUACUAUUGAAGAGGUCUAUAAAACUAAACUCUAGGGACAAAUCUUUAGUCCAAAGACUACACAGGACACACGGAGUAACUAGUUAACUGAUUAUAUGCAAUAUCGUUUAGAAAGGGAAGUGUCUAAGAUGGAAAAUUCAAGGCAGGAUGGCCACUUUGCAAAUUGAAAUGUUCCUUCCAGCUGUUAUGUUCAGGGGUGGAUCCAACGUGGUGCAGGGGGACUUAGGUUCCCCUACACCCACAAGACCCAUGGAUAUAUACCCGCAGAGCGCCCCCUCUAAUUUUUUCACCAUGAAUGAUAAACUAAAGCUUCCUAAAUGGCUGGAGGUUGAAGAAACUGUAUAAUUGAGUCCCUUAAUUUUUUGUUCCUAGAUCCGCCUCUGGUUUACGUUGACAGUAAGAAAGAGAGGUUUACCUACUUUUUGUCGUAUAACCCAAAACUAUAGGAGCAAUUAAUAUGCUAAGUCAAUGGUUAGGGCUAUCAGCGAGCCGAGCUUGCUCGUCUGGGCUCAAGCUCGACAAAGCUCGAGCCGAGCUUAAUUCUCUUUUGAGCUUUUAAGCAGGCUCGGCUCGAGCUCGUUUAGGCUCGCGAGCUCGAUCGAUUAUAGGAUAAUGUAUAUUUUGUUGAUAAGAUUUAGUAAAAAAAAUUUAAUCAAUAAUAUUGAAGAUAAAGUUAUAUAUGAUGCCAAAAUACACUAAUUUUUCACAUGAAUAUAUACUAAUUUGUCCUUGAGCUACUAACUUAUCAUAUAAAAGAUAAAAAAUUUACACACAUAGUUAGACUCAUAAGAAUCUCGAGCUUGGCUUGACAAAACUCGUGAGCUUGCAGCUAGGCUUUGGUUCGGCUUGUUAAGAGUUCGAGCCGAGCUCGAAUCGAGUCUGAGGUGACUCACGAGCCUCGAGCUUUUUUUGAUAGCCCUACGGGUGAUAGUUAGCAAUUCAAAACGAGUCACGUCGCACGCAUAAGCUCUUACACAUGCUCCUGCUCCCACCCAUGCAGUGACGCUUAGGAUCUGUUUGAGAAAGUUUUUGGCAGGUGCAACUUCUCUUAUAAUCAUAAGCUCUCUAAACAGUUGACAUUUUCGUUUAGAUCCUAAAAAGCUAUAGCUGUUGAAUCCAAAAAAGAAUAAAGUCGGAAGCUGGGAACCCCGACUUUUCUAUAUUCUAAAAACUGAUUACCAACCAGCAGCUUUUUAGAAUCUUAAUCUCUUCUAAACAAUACCCUUACAUACUACAGUUACAUUGUUAUAGCAUUAACCUUAUAUAUGUGAGUGGCCAUGCAGAGCCCAGGUAGCAUCACUACAAAGUAAGAAAUCGACUGAUCCGGCCAGCCAUGCAUGGCAGCGGCAGCCGGCUUCUCGGGGACGGCGGCAGUGGCGGUGCCUCACGUCACGUGAAGCUGGGCUCGCAGGGGCCGGAUAUCUCAACGCAGUGGGCCUGGGCUGCAUGGGCAUGUCCGCUUUCUACGGCCCGUCCAAUGCCGGAGGCCGACAUGGUGGAUUAGAAAAAAAAUAAUUCUCUUUUUCUGAGUAAUUCUCUGUUCCAAAUAUUCGUUGGAAGUAGAUAGACACGUUCUAAAAUCUUAAUGCAUGGGCGUAUGUCAUCUUGAUUAAAAAAAAAACAAACUUUUUCGCCACUCCAACAAAGGCGGGAGCAUAGAUAUGGGAGAGCUAGUGAUGUUUUAACUAACAUCGAGGUUUGUUGGUGUGUUGAUGUUUUUGCAAUCAGUGGCAGAGUUUCCGUCGAUGCCGCGGUGGCCGCCGCCGCAGAUCGCCGGUGAUGGCCGGGAAACCCAACAGCAAACAGUUGUCGCUGCAGGAUGGCGUGAUGAUCUCCAACGACGACGGCCCAAGAAGCUUAAUUGGGAAUCCGGAAAGUUUUGCGUUGAGAAUGAACACCUCAAGGGCUCGCCAACCACUUCCACUAGCUGCUGCCUCUUCCUCCCUCUUCUCGACCGUCUCUAUCACUCGUUUCAAGAGUGAGGGUACUCCGCAGUACUGCUCACUGACAUGUACCAGUCCCACAUGAUAUGUGCCAGAUGAUCUGGAUUGCUCGUUUCAAAUACGAGCAGCGAAGUUUGUAGAUUUUGUUGAAUUGGAGUAAUUGAAUUGGAUUGAACAGCAGUGUUUUGAUUAGAAUCAGUUUUACAUACACAAUGAAAUAACUGACACAAGAAAUAUUUUUUUUUUCAAAA
Molecule: long non-coding RNA, 3421 nt
Organism: Oryza sativa Japonica Group (Japanese rice)
Lineage: Eukaryota; Viridiplantae; Streptophyta; Magnoliopsida; Poales; Poaceae
Source: RefSeq, a predicted model, not a curated record